AUUUCUUCAACAGGAACCUCCUGCUAAUCUUCGUUUUAGGAGAGUUGAUCGUGGCUCGGAGA
This 62-nucleotide ribosomal RNA is filed under the name Lyophyllum decastes. RNAcentral's name for it is "partial 18S ribosomal RNA". The record is from RNAcentral. Lineage: Eukaryota; Fungi; Basidiomycota; Agaricomycetes; Agaricales; Lyophyllaceae.